CUCUCUCUCUCUCUCUCUCGCAGAGGGGGAGGAGGAGGACAUUUGUUGCAUCUUCCUCUCUUGGCUGAACUGGAUUAUAAUAUAGCAUAUCGACCACCAUGUUUCACCGCCGGAGCAAUUCCCAUCGGGAUCAGGAGGAUGAUUCACUGCGACAUGAGUCUAAGGUCAAUGAGCUAAGGAAUGCAAUUGGGCCAAUAACAGGACGCAGUUUACAAUAUUGCACUGAUGCAUGUUUGAGAAGAUAUCUGGAAGCUCGUAGCUGGAAUGUGGACAAAGCGAAGAAAAUGCUGGAGGAGACACUUAAAUGGAGAUCGACUUAUAAGCCUGA
RNAcentral lists this unclassified non-coding RNA (328 nucleotides) under Hevea brasiliensis (rubber tree). Lineage: Eukaryota; Viridiplantae; Streptophyta; Magnoliopsida; Malpighiales; Euphorbiaceae. The record is from RNAcentral.